Long non-coding RNA from Bos taurus (domestic cattle), 1536 nucleotides. The record is from Ensembl. NCBI's taxonomy places the organism in Eukaryota, Metazoa, Chordata, Mammalia, Artiodactyla, Bovidae.
GCUAUGGAAGGAUUUUGCAGCUGUAAUUAAGGUCCAAAAUCAGGUGACUUUAAGACAGGAAGAAAUUCCUUGAUGGCUCAGGUGGUAAAGAAUCUGCAAUGCAGGAGACCUAGGUUCAAUCCCUGGGUCAGGAAAAUUCCCUGGAGAAGGAAAUGGCAACCCACUCCAGUAUUCUUGCCUGGAGAAUCUCAUUGACAGAGAAGCCUGGAGAGCUACAGUCCACAGGGUUGCAAAGAGUCCAAAAGACUGAGCAACUCACUUUCACUUUUCACUUUCAAUCUUAAGAUAGGAAGAUUAACACUUAAAAUAGGAAGAUUAGUAUCUGGGUGGGGCUGACCUGAUCACAUGAGUCCUUUAAGGCUGAGUCUAGAGGUCAAAGACAUUAGGCCAAAGAUUUUAAGCACAAAGAGGGUUUGACAUGAGAUAGCUUUUCAAAAGUGACUCACUUGAACCAACAGAAAGGGGUAGAUGUGAUACAGUGCCAAUUCAAUGCCAAGCCUUGAAGAAGCUUAGCAUCUUCUUUUGCUUUUGGAAAUUAACCAUCGUGGAAGACAUCUGACUGGUAUCCAUGGAGGAAUCCUGUGAUAUUUCAUGCCUACUAUCUUCAGAGAGAGAGAGAGGAGCCAGUUGGAGAAGCACAAAAACACUAGACAUCCUGGAGCUCUAUUUGAGAAGGAAGGAAAGCUUCACCACCAUAAAUCAGAGGUUCCUCUGCAAACUCCACAUAGCGUGUCUCAGGCCUGCGGAAGGUGGAGUUCGUUUGCUGGGACAGUCAAGUCCUUUGGGUUGGGUUAUUGAAUCAUUGGGAGGGAUGAAUUUGUGAACAUGCAUCCCUCCCAAGGCUGCCACUCUUGACAAAUGCUGCACUCAGCACUCAGGUCCCCACUGUGAAUAGACACUGUCUGUGCCACUCCUGGAGGGGCCUGUGCAGCCUGGAGCUGUUCCAAUAUUCCACAUCAUCAGCCUUCUAACUUCCCCGGGGUCAGCCAUUCCUUUUUGGACAGUACCCUUUCCCAGAAUUCAAACAUACAAAACCUUUCUCUUCUUCAAUAUAUUACAUGUUCUUCCCCCCUCCCCACCCCACCCACUCCUUUUAAUUAGACCCUGGAUGGAGUUCCAAAACAUUUAAAAUCAAGGGCUACUUGUGAUUUUUUUUCAAAGAAUAUCUUUCUUUUGUGUUAUUAAUCACUUUAACCAUCUUGAAGCCUCUUUUGGCCAGAGGAUGGUCUCAGAUGAACGAAGUUUCUCUUGUGUUAUGGCUUGUCAUCAAAACUUGAAAGAAUCUUUAGAUAAAAUGUUUUUUUUUUAAUUUUAUUUUAUUUUUAAACUUUACAUAAUUGUAUUAGGUUUGCCAAAUAUCAAAAUGAAUCCACCACAGGUAUACAUGUGUUCCCCAUCCUGAACCCUCCUCUGUCCCCCCUCCUCAUACCAUCCCUCUUGGUCGUCCCAGUGCACUAGCCCCUUAAAUAAACAUUGUUUAAAUUGUUUAUUGUUUAAAUAAAAAUUGUUUAAAUAAACAAUUAAACAAAACUUCUG